Molecule: ribosomal RNA, 350 nt
Filed under: uncultured bacterium
Lineage: Bacteria
Description: bacterial SSU rRNA
Rfam family: Bacterial small subunit ribosomal RNA
Source: RNAcentral
GUUUUUAAAAGUGUGCGCAGGCGGGCUCUGUAAGUCAGAUGUGAAAUCCCCCGGGCUUAACCUGGGAACUGCGUUUGAAACUGCAGAGCUAGAGUGCGGCAGAGGGAGGUGGAAUUCCAUGUGUAGCAGUGAAAUGCGUAGAGAUAUGGAAGAACAUCGAUGGCGGAGGCAACCUCCUGGGCUAGCAAACUGACGCUCAUGCACGAAAGCGUGGGGAGCAAACAGGAUUAGAUACCCUGGUAGUCCACGCCCUAAACUAUGUCAACUAGUUGUCGGGUCUUAAUAGACUUGGUAACGUAGCUAACGCGUGAAGUUGACCGCCUGGGGAGUACGGUCGCAAGAUUAAAACU